UGCAUUAUAAUAUUUUAAAUUUUUUGGGUUUUUUAUUCCUGAUGUACUAGGUUUUUCAUCCAUGUCUACGUCUCCUGUAUUUAUUUCUAAAUUCUUUGUAUUAUCUAUGUUUGCUAAAAGUUCCGUAUAUGUUUCGCUUGUUUCUGAAUGUUGUUCAUCUAGAUCAUCGUCGUUUAUUUCAUCAAUUCUUAUUUCAGGUAGAUUAUCUUGGUUAUUUUCUUCUUUUUCUUCUAGUUCUUCUUCUAAUUGCAAUUUUUCUUUAAAUUUAUUUAUCUCAUUUGCUAAUUUUGUUUUUUGUUCUUUUUCUUUUUGUUUAAUUUCAUACAUUUCUUUUAAUAUUGCCAGUUUUUUUUCUAGUUCUAUUAUUUUAG
Molecule: long non-coding RNA, 371 nt
Filed under: Solanum tuberosum (potato)
Lineage: Eukaryota; Viridiplantae; Streptophyta; Magnoliopsida; Solanales; Solanaceae
Description: long non-coding RNA (STUB_LNC006255)
Source: RNAcentral